RNAcentral lists this transfer RNA (460 nucleotides) under uncultured delta proteobacterium. RNAcentral describes it as "partial 16S-23S ribosomal RNA intergenic spacer". The stretch from base 182 to 254 matches the Rfam family "tRNA". Lineage: Bacteria; Deltaproteobacteria. The record is from RNAcentral.
CCUCCUUUCUAAGGAGAAAUUCCAUAAAUCUUAUGGAAUAUGGUCGAACUCAAAACCUUUUUGGUCACGCAUACCUGUAUUUUUGGGCUUGUAGCUCAGGUGGUUAGAGCGCAUCCCUGAUAAGGAUGAGGUCCGUGGUUCGAGUCCACGCAGGCCCACUUGAUCUACUGCCAAAUAUUUUGGGGCUGUAGCUCAGUUGGGAGAGCACCUGAUUUGCAUUCAGGAGGUCGCAGGUUCGAUCCCUGUCAGCUCCACAACAAAAAAUUUGUUUUUUGACAAUUGGGAAUUGAUGUCGAUUCACAAAUGUGAAUCGUCUUCUGCAAAUCGCGGAAGGCGGUAACUUCAUUUUGUGACACUAAAAUAAUAAAUAGUGAAAUCGUCUCUUAUUAUAAUAUAAGAGAUGGAUUAUUCACGUGAUCAAGAGCCUUNGGUAAAGCUACUAAGAGCGUAUAGAGGAUGC